Molecule: ribosomal RNA, 185 nt
Filed under: Funneliformis mosseae
Lineage: Eukaryota; Fungi; Glomeromycota; Glomeromycetes; Glomerales; Glomeraceae
Description: partial small subunit ribosomal RNA
Rfam family: Eukaryotic small subunit ribosomal RNA
Source: RNAcentral
UUUGGAGGGCAAGUCUGGUGCCAGCAGCCGCGGUAAUUCCAGCUCCAAUAGCGUAUAUUAAAGUUGUUGCAGUUAAAAAGCUCGUAGUUGAAUUUCGGGAUCAAUAUUUCGGUCAUGCCGUUGGUAUGCACUGUUAUCAUUGAUUUCUCACCUUCUAAAGAACCGUGAUGCCAUUAAUUUGGUGU